This 89-nucleotide non-coding RNA is filed under the name Eutreptiella gymnastica. Lineage: Eukaryota; Euglenozoa; Euglenophyceae; Eutreptiales; Eutreptiaceae. The record is from RNAcentral.
CUUGUUCACGUGAGGUGUCAUAUAGAUGGAGGUGACAUUUUGCCCGUGGACACUCUAUUGAUGGUCCAUGAGACCGCAACCCACUCCAU